Long non-coding RNA from Ipomoea triloba (trilobed morning glory), 678 nucleotides. RefSeq lists it as uncharacterized. The transcript has 2 exons. NCBI's taxonomy places the organism in Eukaryota, Viridiplantae, Streptophyta, Magnoliopsida, Solanales, Convolvulaceae. The record is from RefSeq and is a predicted model, not a curated record.
GGAAUUUUCUAAUUAAUGUGUGAGUUUUCCCUCAUUCUUUGCCAACCUUCUCCAAUUCGCCUCUCUAAUCUUCACCAUCGACCUCCCCUGAGUCAAUUCAAAAUUUUCAGAUCAUGUUUUAGGAUUUACCUCAGCCGUCGCUCCUUGUCCAGAAUCGCCGCAAAUGAUUGCACUAAGGUCACCGCAAUUGCCUACCCUCCUUUUGAUUAUUAUCCAAAAUUUGAACAAUUUUUGCUUUGUUUUGUUCAUCUGUGAUCUCGCAAGAUGCGUUCAUAGCAAUAUGGUCGAUUCUGCUCUUGGUGGUUUGACGUCAGGCGACAAAAAUUUUGGUGGGCGAUGACGACUUCUGGUAGGAACUCCAUAGCAAAUUUUCUGGACAAUGUUUUUCUGCAACCAGAACAUUCAUAUGCGAAUUCUGCACCUUCAGAUUGAUUUAUGAAGAUUUUAUGGAAUUUUUAGAAUCCGGCGACACUCUGGUCGCCAGAACGCCGCCUGCCACCACGAUGGCACCGACGUAGCACCACCUGACUCAUCCGUCUUGAAUGCAUGAACGAAUGUAUGAUUUUCAGCGAUUUGAGCGAAUUGGAUUUAGUUAGGGUUUGAGUUUCCGUCCUCAAAUCGAGGGAAUAAAGGCAGAUUUUGGGUUUAUUUUGAUGAAAUUGAAUUAAAGUUAUGAAA